RNAcentral lists this ribosomal RNA (738 nucleotides) under uncultured bacterium. RNAcentral's name for it is "bacterial SSU rRNA". It matches the Rfam family "Bacterial small subunit ribosomal RNA", at positions 51 to 837 of the family's 1533-position model. The record is from RNAcentral.
ACACAUGCAGUCGAGCGCACCCUUCGGGGCGAGCGGCGGACGGGUUAGUAACGCGUGGGAAUGUACCCAGAUCUACGGAAUAGCCUUUGGAAACGAAGAGUAAUACCGUAUACGCCCUUCGGGGGAAAGAUUUAUCGGAUUUGGAUCAGCCCGCGUUAGAUUAGAUAGUUGGUGGGGUAAUGGCCUACCAAGUCUACGAUCUAUAGCUGGUUUUAGAGGAUGAUCAGCAACACUGGGACUGAGACACGGCCCAGACUCCUACGGGAGGCAGCAGUGGGGAAUCUUAGACAAUGGGCGAAAGCCUGAUCUAGCCAUGCCGCGUGCGUGAUGAAGGCCUUAGGGUCGUAAAGCACUUUCGCCAGGGAUGAUAAUGACAGUACCUGGUAAAGAAACCCCGGCUAACUCCGUGCCAGCAGCCGCGGUAAUACGGAGGGGGUUAGCGUUGUUCGGAAUUACUGGGCGUAAAGCGCACGUAGGCGGACUAUUAAGUGAGGGGUGAAAUCCCGGGGCUCAACCCCGGAACUGCCUCUCAUACUGGUAGUCUAGAGUUCGAGAGAGGUGAGUGGAAUUCCGAGUGUAGAGGUGAAAUUCGUAGAUAUUCGGAGGAACACCAGUGGCGAAGGCGGCUCACUGGCUCGAUACUGACGCUGAGGUGCGAAAGUGUGGGGAGCAAACAGGAUUAGAUACCCUGGUAGUCCACACCGUAAACGAUGAAUGCCAGUCGUCGGGUAGUAUACU